ACAGGGAUUGCCCUAGUAACGGCGAGUGAAGCGGCAACAGCUCAAAUUUGAAAUCUGGCGCAAGCCCGAGUUGUAAUUUGUAGAGGAUGCUUCUGGCCAGCGGCCGUUCUAAGUUCCUUGGAACAGGACGUCAUAGAGGGUGAGAAUCCCGUAUGUGACCGGCGCGCAGCCUUUACGUAGCUCCUUCGACGAGUCGAGUUGUUUGGGAAUGCAGCUCUAAAUGGGAGGUAAAUUUCUUCUAAAGCUAAAUACCGGCCAGAGACCGAUAGCGCACAAGUAGAGUGAUCGAAAGAUGAAAAGCACUUUGGAAAGAGAGUUAAAAAGCACGUGAAAUUGUUGAAAGGGAAGCGCUUGCAACCAGACUUCGUAGCGGUGUUCCGCCGGUCUUCUGACCGGUCUACUCAUCGUCGCGAGGCCAACAUCGUCUGGGACCGCUGGAUAAGACCUAAGGAAUGUAGCUUCCCUCGGGAAGUGUUAUAGCCUGUGGUGAUGCAGCGCGUCUCGGGCGAGGUCCGCGCUUCGGCAAGGAUGUUGGCGUAAUGGUUGUCAGCGGCCCGUCUUGAAACACGGACCAAGGAGUCUAACAUCUAUGCGAGUGUUCGGGUGUCAAACCCCUACGCGUAAUGAAAGUGAACGGAGGUGGGAAGCGCAAGCUGCACCAUCGACCGAUCCUGAUGUCCUCGGAUGGAUUUGAGUAAGAGCAUAGCUGUUGGGACCCGAAAGAUGGUGAACUAUGCCUGAAUAGGGUGAAGCCAGAGGAAACUCUGGUGGAGGCUCGCAGCGGUUCUGACGUGCAAAUCGAUCGUCAAAUUUGGGUAUAGGGGCGAAAGACUAAUCGAACCAUCUAGUAGCUGGUUCCUGCCGAA
RNAcentral lists this ribosomal RNA (866 nucleotides) under Pruniphilomyces circumscissus. RNAcentral describes it as "partial large subunit ribosomal RNA". It matches the Rfam family "Eukaryotic large subunit ribosomal RNA", at positions 68 to 965 of the family's 3401-position model. Lineage: Eukaryota; Fungi; Ascomycota; Dothideomycetes; Mycosphaerellales; Mycosphaerellaceae. The record is from RNAcentral.